Molecule: ribosomal RNA, 463 nt
Filed under: uncultured bacterium
Lineage: Bacteria
Description: partial 16S ribosomal RNA
Rfam family: Bacterial small subunit ribosomal RNA
Source: RNAcentral
CUACGGGGGGCUGCAGUGGGGAAUAUUGCACAAUGGGCGCAAGCCUGAUGCAGCCAUGCCGCGUGUAUGAAGAAGGCCUUCGGGUUGUAAAGUACUUUCAGCGGGGAGGAAGGGAGUAAAGUUAAUACCUUUGCUCAUUGACGUUACCCGCAGAAGAAGCACCGGCUAACUCCGUGCCAGCAGCCGCGGUAAUACGGAGGGUGCAAGCGUUAAUCGGAAUUACUGGGCGCAAAGCGCACGCAGGCGGUUUGUUAAGUCAGAUGUGAAAUCCCCGGGCUCAACCUGGGAACUGCAUCUGAUACUGCAAGCUUGAGUCUCGUAGAGGGGGGUAGAAUUCCAGGUGUAGCGGUGAAAUGCGUAGAGAUCUGGAGGAAUACCGGUGGCGAAGGCGGCCCCCUGGACGAAGACUGACGCUCAGGUGCGAAAGCGUGGGGAGCAAACAGGAUUAGAUACCCGGGUAGUC